UACGUAGGGUGCGAGCGUUAAUCGGAAUUACUGGGCGUAAAGCGUGCGCAGGCGGUGCACCAAGCUCGAUGUGAAAGCCCCGGGCUUAACCUGGGAAUUGCAUUGAGGACUGGUGUGCUCGAGUGCGGCAGAGGGGGGUGGAAUUCCACGUGUAGCAGUGAAAUGCGUAGAGAUGUGGAGGAACACCGAUGGCGAAGGCAGCCUCCUGGGCCGACACUGACGCUGAGGGCACGAAAGCGUGGGGAGCAAACAGG
This 254-nucleotide ribosomal RNA is filed under the name uncultured bacterium. RNAcentral describes it as "partial 16S ribosomal RNA". It matches the Rfam family "Bacterial small subunit ribosomal RNA", at positions 524 to 776 of the family's 1533-position model. The record is from RNAcentral.